GACGAACGCUGGCGGCGCGCUUAACACAUGCAAGUCGAGCGGAAAGGCCCUUUCGGGGUACUCGAGCGGCGAACGGGUGAGUAACACGUGAGUAAUCUGCCCCUGGCUUUGGGAUAGCCACCGGAAACGGUGAUUAAUACCGGAUACGACCACUUCUCGCAUGGGAUGGUGGUGGAAAGUUUUUCGACCAGGGAUGUGCUCGCGGCCUAUCAGCUUGAUGGUGAGGUAAUGGCUCACCAUGGCUUCGACGGGUAGCCGGCCUGAGAGGGUGACCGGUCACACUGGGACUGAGACACGGCCCAGACUCCUACGGGAGGCAGCAGUGGGGAAUAUUGGACAAUGGGCGGAAGCCUGAUCCAGCAACACCGCGUGAGGGAUGACGGCCUUCGGGUUGUAAACCUCUUUCAGCAGGGACGAAGCGCAAGUGACGGUACCUGCAGAAGAAGCACCGGCCAACUACGUGCCAGCAGCCGCCGUAA
Molecule: ribosomal RNA, 479 nt
Filed under: uncultured bacterium
Lineage: Bacteria
Description: partial 16S ribosomal RNA
Rfam family: Bacterial small subunit ribosomal RNA
Source: RNAcentral